UAGAAGUAUUGAAAAGGGAUGCAGA
Molecule: non-coding RNA, 25 nt
Filed under: Rattus norvegicus (Norway rat)
Lineage: Eukaryota; Metazoa; Chordata; Mammalia; Rodentia; Muridae
Source: RNAcentral